GUCAUUGGUGCAUGUGUACAACGCGACAGGUUUUUCCUGCAUGAACUGCUGAAAUUGGACACUGCAAACAUUCGAGUGUACACUCAACAAGGUGUGUGAUACAUUUCACAUUGCACCGAAAGCACCUGAGAACUCGCUCUGUGUCGCUGUCCACCACCGAGGAGGUGAUGUGAACACUUGGACUUCCACGGGAAACAUCACUUAAAGAGAAACAAGAUGAUGAUGCCUUGGAUUUAAGUGUGGUGAUAUGAAUAACGCAUUGGGUGACUUAUCUGGAAGCCUUGGAGCCAAAGCAGAGAUUUACCAGAGUGGCCGGAGUAAUGGGAGCGAGGCUCUCAUCUCCUUGCAAGAGCCUUUACUGACACCAAAAGUCAAGAGGACUUCACCCUGCCAAGGCAACAGGUUAAAAAAAGAGGCCAGUGAAGUUUCACCUGGUCCACCUUCUUUUCCUGAAGGUCUUGCUUCAAAACUCUCACACUCUGCCCCUGAGUCUUUAUUACCUUGGACCAAAACAAGUGCAACUCAGGUAAUUAAGAUUUAUAAUGAAGAUAACACCAGCAGAGCGGUAGAGAUCCCCAGUGACAUUGUUGCCCGGGACAUAUGUCAGCUGUUUGCCUUGAAGAGCCACUGCAUCGAUGAGCACAGCUUGACUCUUUACGAGCACCUCUCCCAUCUGGGAAUAGAGAGAACGAUUGAGGACCAUGAGUCAAUUAUGGAGGUGAUAUCCAGCUGGGGAAUGGAUGCAGACAACCGGCUAAAUUUUAGGAAGAAUUAUGCAAAAUAUGAGUUUUUCAGGAAACCCUUGGACUUCUUCCCUGACCAUAUGGUGUCCAUAUCCGGUGAGACCAAUGAGGUGGUAGAUCACUCUCAACUUGUACAGAUCUUUCUCAGCGCCAGCACUUGCCCAGAGAUUCACGGACAUCUCCACACCAAGGAGCCAGGCAAGAAGUCCUGGAAGAAGUUGUACUUUAUCUUGCGGAGGUCAGGGCUUUAUGUCUCCAGUAAGGGAACUUCUAAGGACCCAUGGCAUCUUCAGUUCAUCGCUGACUUCACUGACUCAAAUGUCUACACACUGUUGUCAGCCAAAAAAGCACACGGGGCUCCCACUGAAUUUGGCUUCUGUGUUAAGUCCACAAAGUGCACUUCAUCCCGGGAUAUGAAGCUCCUGUGUGCAGAUGACGAGCAGACUAGGACGUGCUGGGUCACAGCCGUGCGAUUGUUCAAGUAUGGGAUGCAACUGUACCAAAACUUCAUGCAGCCACACCAGAAACAAAAAGCCUCCCCAAUGCGGAGCAUCUCCGAGAACUCCCUGGUGGCCAUGGACUUCUCGGGCCAGAAGAGUCGGGUGAUCGAAAACCCCUCGGAGGUUCUCUCUGUGGCCGUGCAGGAAGGCCUGGCAUGGAGGAGGAAAGGUUGCCACCGUCUGAGUGCACAUGGAAGCCCUUCUGCAUCCCAGAGCUCACUAAAUAUAGCUCUCCAUUUAGCCCAGCCCUGGUUCCAUGGCAAGCUGUCACGGGAAGAAGCUCAGCGUCUGAUCACUCAGCAGGGUCCAGUUGAUGGGCUAUUUCUUCUGAGAGACAGUCAGAGCAACCCCAAGACAUUUGUACUGUCACUGUGCCACAUGCAAAAAGUCAAACACUUCCAAAUCUUACCUGUGGAUGACGCAGGGGAGUUGUCCUACAGCCUCGACGACGGCCACACACGCUUCUCAGACUUGAUUCAGCUGGUGGAGUUUUACCAGCUGAACCGGGGCGUGCUGCCCUGCAAACUCAAACAACACUGCACCGGGACCACCCUGUGACAACCGGGAGGGACCGCCACCAUGGAAGCCUCAAAGUCACCUCCUCUCAGAGGCCUCUUUUCUGGGCAGUCACCCGCAGUGAUCUUGUGCAUGGAAGCAAAAUUAUGCAAAGACCCGACAGGCUUGCAAGGUGCAAGGUAGGAUUUCUGUUCUUCCAGCGCCAUCGUGGCCCUCAAUAGGGCAAGGAAGCGGAUUUGGUUAAUGGACUGGGUGAUGAUUAUAACAAGCAAAAACCCAAAAUUCACAAUCUCAAGAAAUAUUAGGGGAAAAAACAAAACAAUUAAUGUAGAAAUCAGGUAGAAAUUGGCCUCAUGAAAAGUACCUAUAUGUGAUUAAUACACCAAUAUAGUAUGACUUUCACUUUGUGGACCACUGAAAUAAAUGAACUUUUCAACGAAAUUCUAAUUUAUUGAUAUGCACCGACCUGUUGUUCCACUAUAAACCCCUUCAAAACGCCACUUAAAUUCCAACAUUAGAUACGGUCAUAUAACAUCACAACAUUUCCAAUUCAUCAAAUUCUCAAAGCAAAUAUUCUCAAGUAUAUAGGAUGACAUGUAUGUAUAUUUUGAAUAGAUCUAAUAAAGACCAAGAAAAUACGUCCAAUAAAUCAGGUAUAACCUUAUUUUAUUUUAAAUUUGACAUGAUAAAUUCAGGCUUUAUCCAGUGGAUAUUUCUCAAAUAUAAUAAGCUUCCUAACUAGUGUAUCUUUACCUACACUUUGUUCACUUAUUUAUUAUCUAACCUCCUACGGUUAAAGUUAAAUUUAGUUGCUCCAUAUUGCACGUGAACGAUACACAUUAACCCAAUAUUGCCAAACGUGAUUUAAUAUAUUCGAUAUGAGGAAUAUGUAGGCAUUAUGUGGCCUACAUUGUGGAUGCAGUGUGGGAGGCAGCAGCACCUAGGGUGCAGGUUAACCCAUGACCACUAGAUGGUAGUAAAAGCAUUUUGUUGGCUGUGUUCCAGUUUGAUGUCGUCAAAUAAGUCAAAUAAUCAAUUUACGUUUAUGUUCACGUAAGUUCCAAUAAUUAUCAUUGAUUGAUACUGCUGACAAUAGACAGCAUCAUACUGAAUUUCUGGCUACAAAAUUAGGUCCAACUCCACACUAAUAAGUCAAAGUUAGCACAAAUGAUCAGAAUGAACACUUGUCAGAAGGCUAUGGCGCUUUGCUCCACUGGACACAACAACCAUAAUGAUGAACAUAUGACAACAUAAAAACAACUGAGAUUAUGAGAGAUUUUGUUCAUACAGUUACUGUAUUCGACCUUGUUUGGAGGUGCAACAAUUAAUUGAUUAUCAAAUUAAUUGACAACUCUUUUGAUGAUUGAUGAUCCCAUUGUUUUACUUAAAAUUGUCGAAAUCCAUCUAAAUUCUCCCAACAGUGAAUCUUCUCAGAUUUCUGUAAUCCUUCAUGAAAGCAGACUGAUUAUCUCUUGCGUUUAAUUAAAAAAAAAAAAAAUUUUCAAACAUAUGCUUUUACUUUGGAAAAUCAUAAUCAAACUUUUUGCCUAUUUUCCUACAUGUUACAGACCCAACCAGUCACUGUGUCCUCAACAAUUUAUGGGGGACAAAAAUAGUUUAAUAUAUUACAAAAACAAUCAUUCAUUGUAAUGUAAUGGACUCUAGAAAGUAUUCGGUAGUAACAGCCCUAACCUUGUUCGAUUAGAUCGUAAACAUGUAAUAUUCACUUGACCAACUCCAAAGUGCCUUGCGUGUAUUCCCUUUCUCUAAGGAUGUGUACAAUUAUUACAAGUGCAAGUAAUGACUCAUCCUUUCACUUACGUCUGAUUUUUCCACGGCCCCAUCCCGCUAUGAGUAAACCCUGCAAAUGAUUCCCCGCUCAAACAGCAAACGGCCAAAAUGUCUCGUCUGGAAGCACCCGUGUGAAACAAGCUUCUUUGUUGUGAUAUAAAUGCACUGCCCCGACGCCUCUCCGGCUUCACUUCAAUAGCAGCUUUUUUGAAAGGGAGCGCUCACAUCCAGGGGAGACGUGCACAAACACACAAGUCUUAAAUGUACCCCUGCUUCUUAGGUCUUGUGCUAAAUGUUGUUUUGGAUGUAUUCCUGCCAUUGAUCGGCGCCUGGCUGCAGGGGGAGAGAUGGCAGCUGGGAGAGAAUGCGCCUCCUUUAAUGAAUUCAUCCAACACUAACGGCCUGUGGACACUGCAUUUCUUCCAGCCUUUCUCUCUC
RNA transcript from Phycodurus eques (leafy seadragon), 3988 nucleotides. It is a transcript of the gene named growth factor receptor-bound protein 14, with no coding region annotated. Lineage: Eukaryota; Metazoa; Chordata; Actinopteri; Syngnathiformes; Syngnathidae. The transcript is spliced from 16 exons. The record is from RefSeq and is a predicted model, not a curated record.